RNAcentral lists this small nuclear RNA (94 nucleotides) under Octodon degus (degu). The record is from RNAcentral. Lineage: Eukaryota; Metazoa; Chordata; Mammalia; Rodentia; Octodontidae.
GUAAACAAAUACUAAAAUUGGAAGGAUAAAGAGAGGAUUAGCAUGGCCUCUGCAUAAGGAUGACAUGCAAUUUCAUGAAGAGUUCCAUAUUUUU